UAAUACAUGCAAGUCGAGCGAAUGAUUAGAGAAGCUUGCUUCUCUCUGAUUUAGCGGCGGACGGGUGAGUAACACGUGGGUAACCUACCCUAUAGACUGGGAUAACUUCGGGAAACCGGAGCUAAUACCGGAUAAUACUUCGAAACACAUGUUUUGAAGUUGAAAGAUGGUUUCGGCUAUCACUAUAGGAUGGACCCGCGGCGCAUUAGCUAGUUGGUGAGGUAACGGCUCACCAAGGCAACGAUGCGUAGCCGACCUGAGAGGGUGAUCGGCCACACUGGGACUGAGACACGGCCCAGACUCCUACGGGAGGCAGCAGUAGGGAAUCUUCCACAAUGGACGAAAGUCUGAUGGAGCAACGCCGCGUGAGUGAAGAAGGAUUUCGGUUCGUAAAACUCUGUUGCAAGGGAAGAACAAGUAGCGUAGUAACUGGCGCUACCUUGACGGUACCUUGUUAGAAAGCCACGGCUAACUACGUGCCAGCCGCGGC
RNAcentral lists this ribosomal RNA (490 nucleotides) under uncultured bacterium. RNAcentral describes it as "bacterial SSU rRNA". It matches the Rfam family "Bacterial small subunit ribosomal RNA", at positions 49 to 518 of the family's 1533-position model. The record is from RNAcentral.